GCUGUUCUUCUCCCAAUAAGACCCUGUUCAUAUUCGACAUCCUCCAAGCAUCUAUUCCUAAGGGAAGAUAACACCAGUGAAGACCUCGAUAUGUUUCCUGGUUCCUCAGGUCCAGAUCUAAUGCCUCCUGUAAAAGUGCCAAGAUUAUACACCCAACUCUCUCUUUAAACAGUAAAAACAAAAAAUAAGAGUGACCUCCAUGACCUGUACAUUGCCUCUGCAAAGGGUACAGGUUGGGCCAACAGCCAAGCCCCACAAGCACUAGAGGUCGAUGUUUGGAACUGAUUGGGUCGGAAAGGGAUGCAGUCCAUGUCUGUUUCCGGUUCACAGAGGCCUCGACGUCACUACAUAGUUUGGAUGUCUGACUAGCUUCCUGACUUUGAGAGUCUCUUUCUUUAAACACGAGGGACCAACUCUGGAGAGGAAAGAGAAGACAACACGCAAGAGUCUGGCUCCCCUGGCAGCCACUCUCAGGAUGGCUCCUCUCGACGAGAUUUAAACAGAAUGAUGUGGAUAGUGUUCUGGGAGGAGGACGGAGUGCCCACACGCAUGCUCAGAGCCCCUUAGUAUGGAAGGCCACAACUAGGCAGCAUACGUUUUAGGAAGCCGCCUCUUCAUGACAUAGUGCUUCAAGUUUAGAAAACCCCUCUGAAGCUAAAUCAUCUCUACCCUGUGCCAAGAUGGAUGCAUUCCUGUUUUACACACGUGAGACAAACGUAAACACAACUAAAUUCCUUUCUAAAGGAGACAAACUGGCCAGAUCAUCAGGAGAAGGGAACUAAAGAAUUGCAGUGGAAAGAUAACCAUAGCAAGAUUCCAGGCCUGCUGGGACUGUCCCUUGCCCAGAGCUGCCCCAAAGCUCAGCAUACGUGUGUCUACACUUACGCCUUUGUUGAGUGCUCCUGACUUGGUCUUUCCACUCAUAAGUAUGCUAAUAGGAGGAACGAUAGAACUCCAGCUCCUUGCCUUCGAACACACAGCCGUCUGCUCCGCCACACUGGCCUGGUCCUGAGGCAACGCAGGCGAGAAGCUCGCCCUGCUGGAACUGCUCCUCCAGAAGACUGCUGAUUUUGGCAUUUUUUUCCCUUUCGUCGUAUUUCUUCUGAAUUUUCUUUGAUCGUUUUUUGUUUAAAAUCUCUUCCUCCUCAGGAGUCAGCUUGGCCCCCUUCUUGCGGCCCAGGGGCAGUGCAAUAGUGGGACCUGUACCACUGUCGGUACAGCGUGCUGUCAAUAAGCAUGAUGCAGUUCUUCACUAGGGUCUUGGUGUGGACACGCUCGUUGUUGGAUGCAUUGUAGACAACAUCAAUGAUCCUUGCUUUGCGAGUACAACACUCAGAGCCCCAGGAAAAGUUCCCCACAUCCAAUCUCAGGGCACGGUACUUCUUAUUGCCUCCUCGAACUCGGACUGUGUGUAUGCGGCGAGGGCCAAUCUUCGUGUUGGCAGCGGGCCGUCCCAGCUCAUACUUCCGCUUCUUGUGGUAGGGUUUUCGCUUACCCCCGGUCUUGCGGCGCUUGUGCCAGUUGUCCCGAGAGAUGCCCAUCGCUCGGCGCUGGCUGGAAAGAGAUUUACAGGGUUCUUAGUCACUAUCCACACUCCCACCUCAACUCUCCCCACACUUCAGCCAUUGCCUAAAACAUAUAUAGUGUGUCAAUUACUUGCUAAAUACUUCUGCAGUUUCUCAUUGCCUCCAAAUGCAGACAUUCUUCUGCUUUUCUUAGAUUUUUGCUUUUGAGACUGGAUUUCACUUUGUAGCCAAGGAAAUCCUUGAAUUCUACUGUUGCCUCAGCCACCUAAGGGUUAAGAAGACAGACAUGUACUAUUACUUCCAAAUUCAAACCCACAGUUUCAAUCAUUGCUUCAUCUGUCUUCUCACCAGAUUCUCUCUCCCACAUCCCCGCCAUAUAAACAAAGCAUAAACUCAAGGCCCAUCACAUUCUGAUGAGAGUUGCCUCCUCAGCUUCAUCUCUAACACCCUUCUGUAUCAUCCACAUCCAGGAAUACACUUAGCUGCUAAUGAUUGGCCUUUACAUGCUGGUUAAAAUUACAUAUCUCUUAACACUAUCAAUGAAACUAUCAUUUUCCAUCUCAACUCAACACAAUGUAUAUAUCUAGAUUAUUUCAAAGACCCCAUUGUAUGCUCCCUGUUUGUACAUCUAUCUUCUCAAUGGGAUAUACAAUAAGAAUCUUCCAAUUACUAGCAUAAUGUUUCUAUAUCAACAUAAGUACUUUCUUACAUCUGGGGAAGACUUCAGUCUCCAGAGACCACACACUCUUCCAAAUGUAUCUUUUCAUACAAGUGCCUGAUAGAUUUUUAGUCUACCCAGAUCCCAUGCUCCCUACUGUUAGAACAUUCUCUGAUUACCUAGACAUCAAGAACUUUUUCAAAAAGUCUGACUCUCAGUUCAGUGUCUACACGGCUCAUUUUCCAAUAUCUUCCUUCCCAAUCAUCUAACAGUCUUUGGUUGUUUGCAGAUAAAUGAGUUGAGGUUGUGUGUGCCAGCCUGACUGUGCAAGUACAUUCACAAAGUGACUAGGUUUGUAGGUCAUAAUCAGGUCUUGGAAGGGAAGAUAAAUAAAUAGGUUCAUUUCUCAGUCUGGGUCAUCCUGUGGUGGUAGGGUUCUAAAAUAGAACCUGGCUUUUCACAAAGGUAUGAAGGUAUGUUUAUAAUUGUGGUGUAAGAGGACAUACUUUGUAAUCUUCAACUCUGAAAUAUUUAGGUGCAUAUCUCAUUAACUUACAUUUGGGUCUUUAUAAAUGCUA
Molecule: long non-coding RNA, 2762 nt
Filed under: Mus musculus (house mouse)
Lineage: Eukaryota; Metazoa; Chordata; Mammalia; Rodentia; Muridae
Description: predicted gene, 47398
Source: RNAcentral